RNAcentral lists this long non-coding RNA (298 nucleotides) under Homo sapiens (human). Its description in RNAcentral is "lncAB143.1". The record is from RNAcentral. Lineage: Eukaryota; Metazoa; Chordata; Mammalia; Primates; Hominidae.
AGAGGCAAAGUCCUCAUGAACCACAAAGAUAGAGUGGAAAAUCCUAAGUAGGAAAAAAUACAUGGAAAAGGGCAAAUGAGCAACAGCAGUGAAUGAGUUGAGAUUGAAAAGGAAAGAGUUCAAGGAAGGAGAGGCAAUGGGGCAAGACAAAAUAAAUCUGAGGAAACAGAGCAAAUAAAAAGUAUGGAGGGAAGCAUCUGUGGGGCCAGGGAAAUGAAUACAUUUUUAAAUGAAAUAGAACCUCCAACACCCCCCCCACAACCACCACACACAAACACACCCACACCCAUAUACACAC